CGGGUUAUAACUUCCCGAACCCGUUAAAGUAACUAGGAGUAACUAACCUAGUUAGUAGCAUGUGAUUAAGUAACUAAUGGUGAGAUAUAGCUUUAUUUGAUCAAAAUAAAGCAUGAGGGACUAAAAUGGACAAGUGGGAAACUUGUUUUAUUAAAAACAAAAAAAAAAUACACACACACAUUGUGUGCGUGUUUUGAUCGACCAGGAGGGUGCUCCAAGGAGCAAAACCCUAGUUCACACCAAAUGACCAAAUUGAAGCUCGAAUCAAGACUUAAAUCAAUGCAUGAACACAAAUUCGUAAUCACCUAAGUGUGGGGAUCGAAAGUUUGUCGCCUAACGAGCUAGGUGGAGGCUUGAGAAAGAAGCGGUCAAACGAAUCAAGCACGAGAAGAAAAAGCGUAUUCGGAUGCGAGGUAAGUAUAGCUUACACUAGUCUUAGAUUGUGUAAUAUUCUCUUAGCGUAUAAAUAACGAAUGAGAUAACUAAACAAUUGAAAUACGAUGUUCCGUCGUGUAGGCGUACGGAACUAGAUAAUCAAAGAUGAAAGAAACCAUAAUAAUGGUAAAAAAGGAAGUAAAUCGAUAAUUCGGUCAUAUUAUGACGAAAGUGGUAAUAAACGGUUUAUAAGUAAAAUGAUCGUACGGUGUUAAACGGAGCGGGUCAUGUAGAUGAGAUGAUAAUAAAUAUCAUCUCGCAAAGAUAAACGGUCAAUUCGGCCAAACGGGUCAAAAGGUGUAGACAUCACCUUUUGACAAUAUUGACUAAUGAUCUUUUGUCGAGUUAUAUGCUUACAGGAAUAGAAAUCCAAUGGAUACUCGCAUCGCUCUUAUUUAGCGAUUAUAAAGCAAGGUAUUAAAACCGGGUUAAUAAAUUGAUCCGAGCCAGGUAUGUAUAAUAGAUCAACUCAUCAUUUAGAACUUGAAGUUCUAUGAGAGUUAGGCAAAGUAAAAGGGACAUUCGGUUAUCUUAAAAGGUAAACCGAAGGAUUUAGAUUAUAGACAGAGUGUUUUGAAAACAAGAUUUGGUAAAAAAAUGAGAUUUUGGGCAUGCAUGACUUACGCAAGCCCUUCGUUGUAAAAGAAGGGUUAAAAACGACCAAAACGCCCUCGUAAGCGAAAUUAAGCAAACAACCCUUAGAAGUCGCUUGAAAACGAGUUUUAUAAUCAAGUUAAUACUUAGAAUAAGUAUAAAAGUGAAAGAUGUAAAUUCUUGGUCAAAAGACUCUAUAUGAGUCUUUGUCGUAAAAUAAUAAUCCGAGGGGUAAAACUCGGAUUAUAUAGAUCGCCACAUUUAAUCCAUCACAAAUAUAGUUGUGAUGGAAGAUCAUUGAUAAAUAAUGUGGAAAUAAGAUGCUAGGAAUAAUCGAGUGUGAAUUAUGCGUAAAAGUGCUUAAAUGCCCUUAACGGGUCAAUUAAACAUCUAAGUAAAAACGGGUUUAAGAAUGUAUAUAAACCCGUGAUUUGAAUCUAAUAUGAUAACAACAUGGAAAUGAUGAGAAUUUAGAAUCAAACAACAUGUUUGUUUGAUAAAAUCACGAACGGGUCAAAGUUUGGUAAAAAAGGUAUUAAGCCGAAAACUUAAAAGACUUAGAUUUUGUUAAUCCGGAUGUUGGAUUUUAACCCCAUAUGAUGGAGAAUCAAAUUACAAACACGUAGGAAGAAACGGUAGGCCAAACGGAAAAGCGGAUUAAAAGUUAUAAAGGUUUCCGUUUUAGAAAACGGCAAACUUGGAAAAUCCCGCAGAGGCCACCGUAAGUUACGGUAGCUACUGUAACUUACGGUAGCCUAUAUAUCUUUACGCCAUGAACUCCCUGUUUUACGGUGGAAGAAUCAACAUUCAGGGGCUACCGUAAAUUACGGUAGCCACCGUAAUUUACGGUGGACCCUGAACAAAAAUGUAUUUUAAUUAAGUUUUGUUUCUCGGACUAGUUUUAGAUACGUUUUAAACCUCGUAUGACUAAAGCAUUUCAUGUUUAUGAAAUAUAGGUACAUUUUGGAUGCUGGAAGACGAUCAAGCUCAUCGAAGAACCGAACACGAUAAAGAUACAUGCUUCCGCACAUUGCCUCGUCGUAAAUUUUAAACGACAAAUUCGACCACUUAUGUUGAAUAACUUAUGAUUUGUAAAAGUUUUAAUAAACUCGUAUUUUUAUAGUA
Helianthus annuus (common sunflower) is the source of this 2154-nucleotide long non-coding RNA. RefSeq lists it as uncharacterized. Lineage: Eukaryota; Viridiplantae; Streptophyta; Magnoliopsida; Asterales; Asteraceae. The transcript has 2 exons. The record is from RefSeq and is a predicted model, not a curated record.